RNAcentral lists this ribosomal RNA (379 nucleotides) under Cryptosporidium sp. NAY-2012. RNAcentral describes it as "SSU rRNA". It matches the Rfam family "Eukaryotic small subunit ribosomal RNA", at positions 670 to 1053 of the family's 1831-position model. Lineage: Eukaryota; Apicomplexa; Conoidasida; Eucoccidiorida; Cryptosporidiidae. The record is from RNAcentral.
UUAAUAAUUUAUAUAAAAUAUUUUGAAUAUUUAUAUAACAUUAACAUAAUUCAUAUUACUAUAUUUUUUAGUAUAUGAAAUUUUACUUUGAGAAAAUUAGAGUGCUUAAAGCAGGCAUAUGCCUUGAAUACUCCAGCAUGGAAUAAUAUUAAAGAUUUUUAUCUUUCUUAUUGGUUCUAAGAUAAGAAUAAUGAUUAAUAGGGACAGUUGGGGGCAUUUGUAUUUAACAGUCAGAGGUGAAAUUCUUAGAUUUGUUAAAGACAAACUAAUGCGAAAGCAUUUGCCAAGGAUGUUUUCAUUAAUCAAGAACGAAAGUUAGGGGAUCGAAGACGAUCAGAUACCGUCGUAGUCUUAACCAUAAACUAUGCCAACUAGAGAU